This is a long non-coding RNA of Dalotia coriaria, 911 nucleotides long. RefSeq lists it as uncharacterized. The transcript has 2 exons. Lineage: Eukaryota; Metazoa; Arthropoda; Insecta; Coleoptera; Staphylinidae. The record is from RefSeq and is a predicted model, not a curated record.
GCGCUGACAUCGAGAGAGUUUGUCAUUUGUGUUUGAAAACUGUUUUAUGAAGAAUAGGUAUUUCUAAUUUGAAAUAAAUUGAGAAAUUUACAAGUUGAUAAGCGCAUGACCAAAAUAAAACUCGCAUUUAUUUAGACCAGUCUCUUCUGCUGGAGGCAAAAAAGCGAAAACAAAAGAUACGCCACGCCGUAGAUUAUUGUCGCGGCACGAAAACCUAGCGUCUCAGCGCGAAUCGCAGACCCUGCGGCUGCCGCCGACCCGCGUGUCCACAUCGAAUAGCGGCAAUAAAUAGGGUUGGCUCGAGCGCGGCGUGUCGCUUAACGCCCGCCUGUCGUCGCCGUCGCAGAAGUCGUAGGCGCCCGCAGGCAGCCGAUCAGCGUGCUCCCGACGCGCGUUCCAGGGCGCGUUUCACCCAUCAACUUUGACUGAUAUCGCGACAAGAUCGCGUUGGAUGCCGGACGGACUCGCGACGUGUUUCGACGUAUUGAAUGUCGCCGGCGCACGCGGCUGAAGAGACGCGCCGGGCAGUUUCGCCCACGCGACGCACAGCGCGACCGCGACUUCGUGUUUAUCGAUAAAGUCGCGGCCGGGCGUUCAAAAUCACGCCGGCGUGAAAUAAGUGCUGCGAGGCGCUCAGGCUACAAACGACACGGAGUGAUAUUUCACCCGGGUGUCAAUGUGUCAACGGGGGAAUAUAUUCUUAUCAACUUUGCAAAUAUUUGUUCUUAUUUUGCAAUUUCUUUUAAACUUUAGUAUACAUUAAUGAUUAUGUUCACAUAUGCAAAUUAAUUAUACUCAUAACUAGCAAAAACACCGAUUAAAUCAACAAAAAUCAACAUUUUAGUUGAAUUUACUGUCGAAGCAAGAAAUAAAAGUCAUGUAAACAUGCAUAAAUGUACAAAACCAUAAAA